RNAcentral lists this ribosomal RNA (774 nucleotides) under uncultured Neocallimastigales. Its description in RNAcentral is "partial large subunit ribosomal RNA". It matches the Rfam family "Eukaryotic large subunit ribosomal RNA", at positions 22 to 635 of the family's 3401-position model. The record is from RNAcentral. Lineage: Eukaryota; Fungi; Neocallimastigomycota; Neocallimastigomycetes; Neocallimastigales.
GUACACGCUGUGACUAGCAUAUCAAUAAGCGGAGGAAAAGAAACUAACAAGGAUUCCCCUAGUAACGGCGAGUGAAGCGGGAAGAGCUCAAAUUUGAAAUCUUAAAGGGUUUCCCUUUACGAAUUGUAGUUUAAAGAAGUGUUUUCUGUUGAGGUUUUGGUAAAAGUUCUUUGGAAUAGGACAUCAUAGAGGGUGAGAAUCCCGUAUUUGACCUUUACUUUCAACUUUGUGAUACACUUUCAAAGAGUCGGAUUGUUUGGGAAUGCAGUCCAAAAUGGGUGGUAAAUUUCAUCUAAAGCUAAAUAUUGGCGAGAGACCGAUAGCGAACAAGUACCGUGAGGGAAAGAUGAAAAGAACUUUGAAAAGAGAGUUAAACAGUACGUGAAAUUGUCAAAAGGGAAGCGUUUGACACCAGUGUUGUUUUUCUGAAAAUCAAUUAAAGAACUGUUUAUGCUAAGCUGUUUAGACUUUAUCAGCUAUCUGUUUAGUUUUGAGCUUUUCUUUAAUGCACUUUUCAGUUAACAAGUCAACAUCAAUUUCUUUUGCUGUAAAAAAGCUUGAGGAAGGUGGCUUGAGAUUCGUCUUAAGUGUUUAUAGCCUCUUGCCUAUGCAGUCGGAGAGAUUGAGGUCUGCAGCGUAGAUCCUUCGGGGCUAAAUGCAUUUGUGCUAAGUUAUAGCAUUUUAUAGACAACUUGUUGACUAUGAUUUGUCUUGUAGCUUACUCGCUUAUGUUAUUUUACCUACGCUUAGGAUGUUGAGGAUGUAGCACAUCAU